CGUGCUUAACACAUGCAAGUCGAACGAUGACCCGGUGCUUGCACCGGUGAUUAGUGGCGAACGGGUGAGUAACACGUGAGUAACCUGCCCUUAACUCUGGGAUAAGCCUGGGAAACUGGGUCUAAUACCGGAUAUGACUCCUCAUCGCAUGGUGGGGGGUGGAAAGCUUUAUUGUGGUUUUGGAUGGACUCGCGGCCUAUCAGCUUGUUGGUGAGGUAAUGGCUCACCAAGGCGACGACGGGUAGCCGGCCUGAGAGGGUGACCGGCCACACUGGGACUGAGACACGGCCCAGACUCCUACGGGAGGCAGCAGUGGGGAAUAUUGCACAAUGGGCGCAAGCCUGAUGCAGCGACGCCGCGUGAGGGAUGACGGCCUUCGGGUUGUAAACCUCUUUCAGUAGGGAAGAAGCGAAAGUGACGGUACCUGCAGAAGAAGCGCCGGCUAACUACGUGCCAGCAGCCGCGGUAAUACGUAGGGCGCCAGCGUUAUCCGGAAUUAUUGGGCGUAAAGAGCUCGUAGGCGGUUUGUCGCGUCUGCCGUGAAAGUCCGGGGCUCAACUCCGGAUCUGCGGUGGGUACGGGCAGACUAGAGUGAUGUAGGGGAGACUGGAAUUCCUGGUGUAGCGGUGAAAUGCGCAGAUAUCAGGAGGAACACCGAUGGCGAAGGCAGGUCUCUGGGCAUUAACUGACGCUGAGGAGCGAAAGCAUGGGGAGCGAACAGGAUUAGAUACCCUGGUAGUCCAUGCCGUAAACGUUGGGCACUAGGUGUG
This 770-nucleotide ribosomal RNA is filed under the name Micrococcaceae bacterium. RNAcentral's name for it is "bacterial SSU rRNA". It matches the Rfam family "Bacterial small subunit ribosomal RNA", at positions 43 to 824 of the family's 1533-position model. Lineage: Bacteria; Bacillati; Actinomycetota; Actinomycetes; Micrococcales; Micrococcaceae. The record is from RNAcentral.